RNAcentral lists this ribosomal RNA (472 nucleotides) under uncultured bacterium. RNAcentral describes it as "partial 16S ribosomal RNA". It matches the Rfam family "Bacterial small subunit ribosomal RNA", at positions 28 to 507 of the family's 1533-position model. The record is from RNAcentral.
GACGAACGCUGGCGGCGUGCUUAACACAUGCAAGUCGAACGCUUAAGCUUGGUGCUUGCACUGGGUGGAUGAGUGGCGAACGGGUGAGUAAUACGUGAGUAACCUGCCCUUGACUCUGGGAUAAGCCUGGGAAACUGGGUCUAAUACUGGAUACGACAUGCCACUGCAUGGUGGUGUGUGGAAAGGGUUUUCCUGGUUUUGGAUGGGCUCACGGCCUAUCAGCUUGUUGGUGGGGUAAUGGCCUACCAAGGCGACGACGGGUAGCCGGCCUGAGAGGGUGACCGGCCACACUGGGACUGAGACACGGCCCAGACUCCUACGGGAGGCAGCAGUGGGGAAUAUUGCACAAUGGGCGGAAGCCUGAUGCAGCGACGCCGCGUGAGGGAUGACGGCCUUCGGGUUGUAAACCUCUUUCAGCACGGAAGAAGCGAGAGUGACGGUACGUGCAGAAGAAGCGCCGGCUAACUACGUG